RNAcentral lists this ribosomal RNA (253 nucleotides) under uncultured bacterium. Its description in RNAcentral is "partial 16S ribosomal RNA". It matches the Rfam family "Bacterial small subunit ribosomal RNA", at positions 524 to 776 of the family's 1533-position model. The record is from RNAcentral.
UACGGGGGGAGCAAGCGUUGUUCGGAUUUACUGGGCGUAAAGCGUGCGCAGGCGGUAAUGUAAGACAGAUGUGAAAUCCCCGGGCUCAACCUGGGAACUGCAUUUGUGACUGCAUUGCUGGAGUGCGGCAGAGGGGGAUGGAAUUCCGCGUGUAGCAGUGAAAUGCGUAGAUAUGCGGAGGAACACCGAUGGCGAAGGCAAUCCCCUGGGCCUGCACUGACGCUCAUGCACGAAAGCGUGGGGAGCAAACAGG